RNAcentral lists this long non-coding RNA (1100 nucleotides) under Homo sapiens (human). Its description in RNAcentral is "HSALNT0170619". Lineage: Eukaryota; Metazoa; Chordata; Mammalia; Primates; Hominidae. The record is from RNAcentral.
AAAUAGUCCUAGAAGGGGUCUGGACAGGCAAAAUGGGGGCCUGAAGGGGGCAGAGAGAUUUCUGGCCAAGGAAGUUAUGGUUACCAGGCAUAGCAGUAUAUGGGGCAGAGGCUGCAGCAGGAGCCGGGCGUGGUGGUAGAUGGGGCAGAGGCUGCAGCAGGAGCUGGGCGUGGAGGUAGAUGGGGCAGAGGCUGCAGCAGGAGCCGGGCGUGGAGGUAGAUGGGGCAGAGGCUGCAGCAGGAACAGGCGUGGAGGUAGAUGGGGCAGAGGCUGCAGCAGGAGCUGCGCGUGGAGGUAGAUGGGGCAGAGGCUGCAGCAGGAGCUGGGCAUGGAGGUAGAUGGGGCAGAGGCUGCAGCAGGAACAGGCGUGGAGGUAGAUGGGGCAGAGGCUGCAGCAGGAGCCGGGCGUGGAGGUAGGUGGGGCAGAGGCUGCAGCAGGAACCAGGCAUGGAGGUAGAUGCGGCAGAGGCUGCAGCAAGAGCCGGGCGUGGAGGUAGAUGGGGCAGAGGCUGCAGCAGGAACAGGCGUGGCAGUAGAUGGGGCUGAGGCUGCAGCAGGAACAGGCGUGGCAGUAGAUGGGGCAGAGGCUGCAGCAGAACUGUGCAGGAGGGAAGUCACUCACUCUUCACUCUCACGGGCUUCCCCUGGCUGCUCAGUAGGGUCCUUUGGAAGCUGCUGAAAACUGCAAAUGCUUAGCCCACCCAGGCUCCGUGUGACACAGCCAGGAGUGAGCUCCACAGCUCUGUGUGGUGGACAUCCAGCCUCCCUACCCUGGGAAAGCUGAAAUGCAAAGAAACACGUGUUUUAGUAGCUAAUUAUUGGCCUUUGAGCUUCCAAAACCCCACAUUCCGGCAAUCUGUAGAGCUCUUCAGGCCAGGCGCAUUGGCUCAUGCCUGUAAUCCCAGCACUUUGGGAGGCUGGGGCGGGAGGAUCACUUGAGCCCAGGAGUUCAAGACCAGCCUGGGCAACAUAGGGAGACCCCGUCUCUACAAAAAAUAAAAAAUUAGCUGGGUAUGGUGGCUUGUGCCUGUCGUCCCAGCUACUCAGGAGGCUGAGGCGGGAGGAUCGCUUGAACCCAGGAAGAGGAAGCUGCAGUGAGC